AACGAACGCUGGCGGUAUGCUUAACACAUGCAAGUCGAACGAACAAAAUUGGGGCUUGCUCCAAUUUUAGUGAGUGGCAAACGGGUGAGUAACACGUGGGAAUCUACCUAUCAGUACGGAAUAACAUUUGGAAACAGAUGCUAAUACCGUAUAUUCUCCAAGGAGGAAAGAUUUAUCGCUGAUAGAUGAGCCCGCGUAAGAUUAGGUAGUUGGUAGGGUGAUGGCCUACCAAGCCGACGAUCUUUAGCUGGUCUGAGAGGAUGAUCAGCCACACUGGGACUGAGACACGGCCCAGACUCCUACGGGAGGCAGCAGUGGGGAAUAUUGGACAAUGGGCGAAAGCCUGAUCCAGCAAUACCGCGUGAAUGAUGAAGGCCUUAGGGUUGUAAAGUUCUUUUAGUUGGAAAGAUAAUGACGGUACCAACAGAAAAAGCCCCGGCUAACUCCGUGCCAGCCGCCGCGGUAA
RNAcentral lists this ribosomal RNA (466 nucleotides) under uncultured bacterium. RNAcentral describes it as "partial 16S ribosomal RNA". It matches the Rfam family "Bacterial small subunit ribosomal RNA", at positions 29 to 523 of the family's 1533-position model. The record is from RNAcentral.